AUACGUAGGGUGCAAGCGUUAAUCGGAAUUACUGGGCGUAAAGCGUGCGCAGGCGGUAUUGUAAGACAGAGGUGAAAUCCCCGGGCUCAACCUGGGAACUGCCUUUGUGACUGCAAGGCUAGAGUACGGCAGAGGGGGAUGGAAUUCCGCGUGUAGCAGUGAAAUGCGUAGAUAUGCGGAGGAACACCGAUGGCGAAGGCAAUCCCCUGGGCCUGUACUGACGCUCAUGCACGAAAGCGUGGGGAGCAAACAGGAUUAGAUACCCUGGUAGUCCACGCCCUAAACGAUGUCAACUGGUUGUUGGGUCUUCAUUGACUCAGUAACGAAGCUAACGCGUGAAGUUGACCGCCUGGGGAGUACGGCCGCAAGGUUGAAACUCAAAUGAAUUGACGGGG
This 395-nucleotide ribosomal RNA is filed under the name uncultured bacterium. RNAcentral's name for it is "partial 16S ribosomal RNA". It matches the Rfam family "Bacterial small subunit ribosomal RNA", at positions 523 to 918 of the family's 1533-position model. The record is from RNAcentral.